RNAcentral lists this ribosomal RNA (506 nucleotides) under uncultured bacterium. RNAcentral's name for it is "partial 16S ribosomal RNA". It matches the Rfam family "Bacterial small subunit ribosomal RNA", at positions 28 to 523 of the family's 1533-position model. The record is from RNAcentral.
GAUGAACGCUAGCUACAGGCUUAACACAUGCAAGUCGAGGGGUAACGAGAGGAAAGCUUGCUUUCCUUGUUGACGACCGGCGCACGGGUGAGUAACGCGUAUCCAACCUGCCCCCAACUAGGGAAUAACCUUGCGAAAGUAAGACUAAUACCCUAUAAUUUCCUCAGAUGUCAUCUGACGAGGAAUAAAGAUUUAUCGGUUGUGGAUGGGGAUGCGUCUGAUUAGCUUGUUGGCGGGGUAACGGCCCACCAAGGCAACGAUCAGUAGGGGUUAUGAGAGGAAGGUCCCCCACAUUGGAACUGAGACACGGUCCAAACUCCUACGGGAGGCAGCAGUGAGGAAAAUUGGUCAAUGGGCGGAAGCCUGAACCAGCCAAGUAGCGUGCAGGAUGACGGCCCUAUGGGUUGUAAACUGCUUUUAUACAGGAAUAAAGUUAGCCACGUGUGGUUAUUUGUAGGUACUGUAUGAAUAAGGACCGGCUAAUUCCGUGCCAGCCGCCGCCGUAA